UAAAGGAAUUGGCGGGGGAGCACUACAACGAGUGGAGCGUGCGGUUUAAUCUAAUUUUACACUGAGAAUCUCACCAGGAGCGACUGCAGGAUGAAAGUCAGGUUAAUGGCCUUACUUGACGAGCAGAGAGGUAGUGCAUGGCCGUCGUAAGCUCGUGCCGUAAGGUGUCCUCUUAAGUGGGGCAACGAGCGAGACCUACAUCUACAGUUGCCAGCAACUUCUUUAGAAGGAUUGGGCACACUGUAGAGACUGCCCGGGAAACUGGGAGGAAGGCGUAGGCAAUGGCAGGUCUGUAUGCUCCGAAUCUUCUGGGCUACACGCGCGCAACAAUGGUGGGAACAAUGGGCUGCGACUCCGAAAGGAGAAGCUAAUCCUCGAAAUCCUAUCUUAGUUCUGAUUGAGGGUUGUAACUCACCCUCAUGAUGCUGGAAUCCGUAGUAAUCGGGUGUUAUCAGCGCCCGGUGAAUAUGUCCCUGCUCCUUGCACACACCGCCA
Molecule: ribosomal RNA, 495 nt
Filed under: uncultured archaeon
Lineage: Archaea
Description: bacterial SSU rRNA
Rfam family: Archaeal small subunit ribosomal RNA
Source: RNAcentral